UGGGUUUGACAUAUGGAGAAAACUCACAUCUCUGUGAGUUUUCUCCAUAUGUCAAACCCAGGUAAGGUUCUUCGCGUUGCAUCGAAUUAAUCAGCAUGCUCCGCCGCUUGUGCGGGCCCCCGUCAAUUCCUUUGAGUUUUAGCCUUGCGGCCGUACUCCCCAGGCGGGGCGCUUAAUGCGUUAGCUGCGGCACGGAGACCUUGGAAGGUCCCCACACCUAGCGCCCAACGUUUACGGCAUGGACUAC
This 247-nucleotide unclassified non-coding RNA is filed under the name uncultured Nocardioidaceae bacterium. Its description in RNAcentral is "contains 16S-23S intergenic spacer region". The record is from RNAcentral. Lineage: Bacteria; Bacillati; Actinomycetota; Actinomycetes; Propionibacteriales; Nocardioidaceae.